This 382-nucleotide long non-coding RNA is filed under the name Chloebia gouldiae (Gouldian finch). Its description in RNAcentral is "Erythrura gouldiae (Gouldian finch) lncRNA (ENSEGOG00005016756.1)". The record is from RNAcentral. Lineage: Eukaryota; Metazoa; Chordata; Aves; Passeriformes; Passeridae.
CUGUCUGCCUGUCUGUCUGUCUGUCCUGGCCCAGCGAGCGGACGCGCAGAGCGAGCGGCUGCGGCGGGAGCUGCGGGCGCUGCGGGACGAGCGCACGGAGCUGCUGCGGCGAGCCAGCGCCCUGCGCGGUGCCAACGACCGCCAGGCCGGCCACAUCCGCCACAUCCAAGAUAAAUUGCAAAAAGAACAAGAGCAGAAAGUAAUACUGGAGGCAACAAUCAGCCAUUUGCAGAACUUGAUUCACAACCAGAACAACCAACAGAAGAGCCAGGAGGUGACGGUGCAAAGGAAAGACCAGGUUUUCACCACACAGACCCCAUCUCUCAUUCCUGCCAAGGAAAAACAAAGUGCUCUGUCAGAGCACCCUGAGGAGGAGGAGAAG